GAUGAACGCUAGCGAUAGGCUUAACACAUGCAAGUCGAGGGGCAGCAUGGUCUUAGCUUGCUAAGACUGAUGGCGACCGGCGCACGGGUGCGUAACGCGUAUGCAACUUGCCUCACAGAGGGGGAUAACCCGUCGAAAGACGGACUAAUACCGCGUACACUUGGGAUAGGGCAUCCUACUCCAAGGAAAUGAAAUUCGCUGUGAGAUAGGCAUGCGUCCCAUUAGCUAGUUGGUGAGGUAACGGCUCACCAAGGCGACGAUGGGUAGGGGAACUGAGAGGUUGAACCCCCACACUGGUACUGAGACACGGACCAGACUCCUACGGGAGGCAGCAGUGAGGAAUAUUGGUCAAUGGGCGAGAGCCUGAACCAGCCAAGUCGCGUGAAGGAUGACUGUCUUAUGGAUUGUAAACUUCUUUUAUACGGGAAUAACAAGAGCCACGUGUGGCUCCCUGCAUGUACCGUAUGAAUAAGCAUCGGCUAACUCCGUGCCAGCAGCCGCGGUAAUACGGAGGAUGCGAGCGUUAUCCGGAUUUAUUGGGUUUAAAGGGUGCGUAGGCGGCCUGUUAAGUCAGCGGUGAAAUCUAGGAGCUUAACUCCUAAAUUGCCAUUGAUACUGGCGGGCUUGAGUGUAGAUGAGGUAGGCGGAAUGCGUGGUGUAGCGGUGGAAUGCAUAGAUAUCACGCAGAACUCCGAUUGCGAAGGCAGCUUACUAAGGUACAACUGACGCUGAAGCACGAAAGCGUGGGUAUCAAACAGG
RNAcentral lists this ribosomal RNA (759 nucleotides) under uncultured Porphyromonas sp. RNAcentral's name for it is "bacterial SSU rRNA". It matches the Rfam family "Bacterial small subunit ribosomal RNA", at positions 28 to 776 of the family's 1533-position model. Lineage: Bacteria; Pseudomonadati; Bacteroidota; Bacteroidia; Bacteroidales; Porphyromonadaceae. The record is from RNAcentral.